RNAcentral lists this ribosomal RNA (506 nucleotides) under uncultured bacterium. Its description in RNAcentral is "partial 16S ribosomal RNA". It matches the Rfam family "Bacterial small subunit ribosomal RNA", at positions 29 to 523 of the family's 1533-position model. The record is from RNAcentral.
AGUGAACGCUGGCGGUAGGCCUAACACAUGCAAGUCGAACGGCAGCACAGGAGAGCUUGCUCUCUGGGUGGCGAGUGGCGGAGGGGUGAGGAAUACAUCGGAAUCUACUUUUUCGUGGGGGAUAACGUAGGGAAACUUACGCUAAUACCGCAUACGACCUACGGGUGAAAGCAGGGGACCUUAGGGCCUUGCGCGAUUGCAUGAGCAGAUGUCGGAUUAGCUAGUUGGCGGGGUAAAGGCCCACAAAGACGACGAUCCGUAGCUGGUCUGAGAGGAUGUUCAGCCACACUGGAACUGGGACACGGUCCAGACUCCUACGGGAGGCAGCAGUGGGGAAUAUUGGACAAUGGGCGCAAGCCUGAUCCAGCCAUACCGCGUGGGUGAAGAAGGCCUUCGGGUUGUAAAGCCCUUUUGUUGGGAAAGAAAUCCAGCUGGCUAAUACCCGGUUGGGAUGACGGUACCCAAAGAAUAAGCACCGGCUAACUUCGUGCCAGCAGCCGCCGUAA